This 165-nucleotide ribosomal RNA is filed under the name Amomum glabrum. Its description in RNAcentral is "5.8S ribosomal RNA". The stretch from base 1 to 138 matches the Rfam family "5.8S ribosomal RNA", at positions 19 to 154 of the family's 154-position model. From Rfam's summary of the family: 5.8S ribosomal RNA (5.8S rRNA) is a component of the large subunit of the eukaryotic ribosome. It is transcribed by RNA polymerase I as part of the 45S precursor that also contains 18S and 28S rRNA. The record is from RNAcentral. RNAcentral also lists the same sequence under 5 other names. Lineage: Eukaryota; Viridiplantae; Streptophyta; Magnoliopsida; Zingiberales; Zingiberaceae.
UCUCGGCUCUUGCAUCGAUGAAGAACGUAGUGAAAUGCGAUACUUGGUGUGAAUUGCAGAAUCUCGUGAACCAUUGAGUCUUUGAACGCAAGUUGUGCCCGAGGCCUUGUGGCCGAGGGCACGCCUGCUUGGGCGUCAUGGCAUCGUCGCCUUUGCUCCUUGCUU